RNAcentral lists this ribosomal RNA (279 nucleotides) under uncultured bacterium. Its description in RNAcentral is "partial 16S ribosomal RNA". It matches the Rfam family "Bacterial small subunit ribosomal RNA", at positions 506 to 784 of the family's 1533-position model. The record is from RNAcentral.
UGCCAGCCGCCGCGGUAAUACGGAGGGUGCGAGCGUUAAUCGGAAUUACUGGGCGUAAAGCGCGCGUAGGCGGCUUGGUCAGUCGGAUGUGAAAGCCCCGGGCUUAACCUGGGAAUUGCAUUCGAUACUGCCUGGCUAGAGUAUGGGAGAGGGAAGUGGAAUUUCCGGUGUAGCGGUGAAAUGCGUAGAUAUCGGAAGGAACACCAGUGGCGAAGGCGGCUUCCUGGCCCAAUACUGACGCUGAGGUACGAGAGCCAGGGUAGCGAACGGGAUUAGAUA